GGGUGUGAAGUUUGGUUGUAUGUAAGGCCCAGGAGCAUCUAGCAUGGAGGUUCUACACCUGGUUUUCUGAGAAGGGGUCCAUGGUACGAAAAAGAAUCCCUGCUACAGGACCAAUCGAAUAUUUGAUCAGGGAUUCUUGUCAGGACUUGACCAGACCUGGGAAUCCCAUGCCUGUUCUAGGGUGGUCCUCUCUGGAACAUCUUCACGUCAGCUUCCAGUCUGAGAAAACAGGAGAAUGAGCAGCUGGGUCCCUCACAGAGGUGCCAUUAUCAUCUUGGGGAACCCUGAGAUGUUCAAGCCAGAAAAGAGAAAGCUACAAACCAUAUGCAAAAUGAACAGAAGCAAUUUGAUGUUACAUGUUAAUUCAGAGAAACAAUCUGGCUUAAGGGAGAGAGAGUUGGACUUGGAAUCAGGAAGACCUACUGACAAGACAUUGGAUCUGCAAGUAUUGAUUGUGCAGUCCUUAGGUUUCGCUGUUUGUAUAAAUUUGAGAAGAAACUGAAGAAGAAGGACCAUUCACAGGGUUAACUGGAGUUUUCAUUAGCUGCAUCGAAUUCUCUUGUCCUCUGAGGACACAGUGACUGGCUGGCAUGCUUCUAUUCUCACUUCCCUAAAUAAAGGAAACGAGGAAAAAUACCCUUUUUUCUUCUCAGGCUGUAGUUAACUUUCAGAUGUUUUCUUCUUGCCUUCUCCCCACCACAGAAGUGUUUAAAAGCUGUGGUAGGGUGUCAGCCAUCCUCAGCAUUGUCAGCACAGAGUAGACACAUACUGUACACGGAAUAAACCUGUUUGUUUUGU
Long non-coding RNA from Vombatus ursinus (common wombat), 798 nucleotides. RefSeq lists it as uncharacterized. Lineage: Eukaryota; Metazoa; Chordata; Mammalia; Diprotodontia; Vombatidae. The record is from RefSeq and is a predicted model, not a curated record. The transcript has 4 exons.